AACGAACGCUGGCGGCGCGCCUAAUACAUGCAAGUCGAGCGAGAAGACGUAGCAAUACGUUUGUAAAGCGGCGAACGGGUGAGGAAUACAUGGGUAACCUACCCUCGAGUGGGGAAUAACUAGCCGAAAGGUUAGCUAAUACCGCGUACGCUCCUCGGACUUCGGUUCAGGGAGGAAAGCGAUACCGUGGGUAUCGCGCUCUUGGAUGGGCUCAUGUCCUAUCAGCUUGUUGGUGAGGUAACGGCUCACCAAGGCUUCGACGGGUAGCUGGUCUGAGAGGACGAUCAGCCACACUGGCACUGCGACACGGGCCAGACUCCUACGGGAGGCAGCAGUAAGGAAUAUUGCGCAAUGGGCGAAAGCCUGACGCAGCGACGCCGCGUGGGGGAUGAAGGUCUUCGGAUUGUAAACCCCUUUCGGGAGGGAAGACGGAACGAGCAAUCGUUCGGACGGUACCUCCAGAAGCAGCCACGGCUAACUUCGUGCCAGCA
Molecule: ribosomal RNA, 491 nt
Filed under: uncultured bacterium
Lineage: Bacteria
Description: bacterial SSU rRNA
Rfam family: Bacterial small subunit ribosomal RNA
Source: RNAcentral